Vicugna pacos (alpaca) is the source of this 91-nucleotide non-coding RNA. The record is from RefSeq and is a predicted model, not a curated record. Lineage: Eukaryota; Metazoa; Chordata; Mammalia; Artiodactyla; Camelidae.
CUCCUGAAUCUGAUCUCCCAAUUAACAACUCUCCUUCUUUACUAAAUUUUCAUUUUACUUAUAGGUCUUACCUGAAACUAAGUUUCUUCUU